GGCUCAGGAUGAACGCUAGCGGCAGGCUUAACACAUGCAAGUCGAGGGGUAGAAGCAGCUUGCUGCUUUGAGACCGGCGCACGGGUGCGUAACGCGUAUGCAACCUACCUUUUACAGAGGGAUAGCCCAGAGAAAUUUGGAUUAAUACCUCAUGGUAUAUAUCAUUCGCAUGUUUGAUAUAUUAAAGUUCCAACGGUAAAAGAUGGGCAUGCGUCCUAUUAGCUAGAUGGUAAGGUAACGGCUUACCAUGGCAACGAUAGGUAGGGGUCCUGAGAGGGAGAUCCCCCACACUGGUACUGAGACACGGACCAGACUCCUACGGGAGGCAGCAGUGAGGAAUAUUGGUCAAUGGACGCAAGUCUGAACCAGCCAUGCCGCGUGCAGGAAGACGGUCCUAUGGAUUGUAAACUGCUUUUAUACAGGAAGAAACACUCCCUCGUGAGGGAAUUUGACGGUACUGUAGGAAUAAGGAUCGGCUAACUCCGUG
Molecule: ribosomal RNA, 487 nt
Filed under: uncultured bacterium
Lineage: Bacteria
Description: bacterial SSU rRNA
Rfam family: Bacterial small subunit ribosomal RNA
Source: RNAcentral